This 727-nucleotide long non-coding RNA is filed under the name Monodelphis domestica (gray short-tailed opossum). Its description in RNAcentral is "lncRNA (ENSMODG00000033985.2)". The record is from RNAcentral. Lineage: Eukaryota; Metazoa; Chordata; Mammalia; Didelphimorphia; Didelphidae.
UAGAAUCCUAUGAAAAUAACUGCCAUCAGGGGAGUUAGGAGAAGACCCGGGGGAAGGAAACAUCUCCAGGACCCAGCUCUGACUGCCUGUGGACCUUUCUACUUGUUUCUGUGCAAAACCCAGUUAGUUCCUGAAGAUCUAUGUAAUCUGCUACUACUCUGAAGAAGAAAUCUCAAUCAAGACUAUGAACUCCAUGAAGGCAGGACCCAUAUUUUAUCUGAGCUCUGUAUCCCCCACAAUGUCCAUCAAUGUUCUGUGCGAAUCCAUGAACAGAGAUAAAGUGAAAACUUCAGAUGCACCAAGAAAAUGGAACCCAAGAGAAAUGGCAAGAUGCAUCAUGUUUGGAAUUCUCAAAUAUGCCUCUAGGCUGAUGGGAGAGAGAGUCUCAGAAAAAUUGUCAUAAUGGGAAGUAUCUGAAUCACUUUGCCAUCAUAGAUAUUCAUUUCAGGUAAACUGACCCAUCUCCUCUAUAUAUUUCGGGGAAAGUACUAAGCACAGGUACAAUAUACAACAUAAUCAAAGAAGUAAAUAGACACAUAACAAUUCUCCUAAUCCUCCUUUGAAAGGAAAAGUGUUCUAUUGCCUUCAUGUUAUUGAUUUUGGACAAUGAUCACACAUAAUCCUUUGGCUAAGUAACUGCAAUUAUAAGUUUUAGAAAGUGUCAGACCCAGUUAGUAAACUGUGUAUAAUAUGCCAAUUAUAAUAAUAAAAUAUUAACCAUAGCACA